CUAAACCUUAAAUCCAAGAACUGCUGUUUCAUAUAGCAGCAGUUUAAACAGAGGUGCUAACAAGAAGUGGAUCUCAAUGCCUUUGGGAGGCUGUGGCCAUGCCCCUCAAAGUGAAUUUGGAAGUUCUAUAACC
This is a small nucleolar RNA of Hippopotamus amphibius kiboko, 133 nucleotides long. RefSeq annotates it as small nucleolar RNA SNORA68. The transcript has a single exon. Lineage: Eukaryota; Metazoa; Chordata; Mammalia; Artiodactyla; Hippopotamidae. The record is from RefSeq and is a predicted model, not a curated record.